CUCAGCAGUGUCUGGACCACAGGAUUGGUUGUGACAGCUGGAGGAGGGAGCUCGACUGGCAUCCAGUGGGCAGAGGCCAGGGAGGCCACUCAACCUGCCAUACGGCCCAGGACAACACGCCACGACAAAAAUAACCCAGGUCAAAACGUCAGGAACCUGAGGCUGAGAAACCCCAGCUUAGGGGAUUGUGCUGCUUAUGGGGAUGAGGAGAACUGGCUGGAAGAUGGGGAAGAAGGUGGGAGUGGUGAGAGGCGGGCUGAAUAGAGAAGCAAGACCAGAAGAUGUUACAACCAGAGGGAAAGAGCAGAGGGGGAGGACGGGAAAGAAGCGAGAGGGGGAUCGGGAGAAAGGGAGGUAAGGAAGGAAUCCACUCACCUCACCCCAACUGUUUCUUUCUCUGUUCCCGGUUCACUUUUCCUCCCAAGUGUUACUGCCACUACUGUAACUUGGAACUGGACAUCAGGGAUGAUCCCUGCUGUUCUUUCUAGUGAGCCUGCUCCAUCUCAGCUUAGCCUUCACAAGGCCUCCAUCUCCCGGGCAUUCUAACCUCUGAAGAAAGCUCUCUGUCCCCUGGACUGCCUGUGUGGAGGGUAAUGAACUGGGUCCUUUAAGGAAUGGCACCUGGGUGCCCAGUGGCAUGGCCAGAAGGUGUCUGUGGGGGCCAUGCCUUAGGGGGAUGCACCCAGGGUGGCUGAGAGAGCAACUGCAGGGGUUUCCCCUAAAAUCUCUCCUCCAGACCGUUCUCGAACUUUCCCCACU
This 759-nucleotide long non-coding RNA is filed under the name Pan troglodytes (chimpanzee). Its description in RNAcentral is "long non-coding RNA NONPTRT008239". Lineage: Eukaryota; Metazoa; Chordata; Mammalia; Primates; Hominidae. The record is from RNAcentral.